ACGCCAUGAAAGCAACUGAAACAGUGCCCGAAUAUACUCAACGUUUUCACGAUAUAAUUCGUGAAGCGAAAGAUAUGAACCCUAGCGAUCAAAUCGGCUGGUACGUUAAGGGGUUACUACCACCUUUGCGCAGCCGAUGUGCGACAAGCGAAGAGGGCAAAGAUUGGGACAGCUUAGAUAAGCUAAUCCUUUACGCUGUUGGGCAAGAAGUUCGAUGGCAGUCGGGCAAAGACAAGCCUACCGUCCAUGCAGUUAGCGCUGACCUUAAUGCGAUCACUGCUAAAAAGCCCUUCAAUAAAUUUAAGCGUUCGUCCUCUGAUCGCAAUUCGCAGGGUUGGCAACCCGCCAAUCGGCCCAAGAAGGCGCGUCUGGAGCAAGAACAGCUGGCGGCACACACUUGCCGCAAAUGCCGUCGCGUGAAGCCCGCCCACCAGAGCUGGGCGGAGCACAAGCCCGACUGCAUUCGACACCUCAAGGCUAACGCCGAGAAGACGCUGUCCCUUGCCGCGAAGAUGGAGAAUGCCAUGGCUGAUUAGCGGGUCGGCAAGCGUGUUGUUGGGGGCUGUGAGCAACCGGAAUGUCCUAAGGACUCGGCUAGCUUGCAAAUCAGAGAGUCCUUGUUGCCCGUUUGUGAUCCGCUUAGCUGUGAUCACAUGUUCCUCCCGGACGAGUUUCGUAACGUGGAGAACAUGUUGGGACGGCAGUUCACCUUUGACGCUGCUUGUAACAACUCUGGCGACAAUAGUCUUUGU
This 752-nucleotide long non-coding RNA is filed under the name Volvox carteri. Its description in RNAcentral is "long non-coding RNA (VCAR_LNC003503)". The record is from RNAcentral. Lineage: Eukaryota; Viridiplantae; Chlorophyta; Chlorophyceae; Chlamydomonadales; Volvocaceae.